This 85-nucleotide transfer RNA is filed under the name Felis catus (domestic cat). It matches the Rfam family "tRNA". Rfam says of the family: Transfer RNA (tRNA) molecules are approximately 80 nucleotides in length. Their secondary structure includes four short double-helical elements and three loops (D, anti-codon, and T loops). The record is from Rfam by way of RNAcentral. RNAcentral also lists the same sequence under 3 other names. Lineage: Eukaryota; Metazoa; Chordata; Mammalia; Carnivora; Felidae.
ACCUGGGUGGCUCAGUCGGUUGAGCAUCCGACUUCGGCUCAGGUCAUGAUCUCACAGUUCGUGGGUUCGAGCCCCGCAUCAGGCU